AUGGAGGUCGACAUAUAUAGGAGUCUCCCUAACAACAAGUAGUAAUGCUAUUCCUUUACCCUGCUUGGUCAUAGCACGGUAGUGGGAGCUGCCAGUUUCACAUGUUUUAACUCUGUCAGAGCACUUUGAAAAAGUGGUCUGUGGUAUCUGGCUCUCGAGAUUCGGAGAACGAUGCCUCUUCGAUUUUUGAGAAAGCAAUCAUGCUGGAGGUAUGACUCUCGAGAUUCGGAAAGCAGUGUCUCUUCGAUUUUUGAGGAAGUAAUCAUGUUGGGAGUCUGGCUCUCGAGAUUCGGAGGGCGGUGCCUCUUCGAUUUUGGAGCAAGCAAUCUUGUUGGGAGUGUUGUCUCGAAUGUGAGUAAAGGUUGGGCAUGUUUGCUAGUCUACCUUGCCACGAAGCACAAAGGUUGACACACAAGGACUUUCCAAUUAUCCAGCAAUGGUACUGUUCCUUUACCCUCUCUUCGAUUUUGAGAAAGUAGUCAUGUUGGGAGUCUGGCUCUCGAGAUUCGGAGGACGGUGCCUCUUCGAUUUUGGAGCAAGCAAUCUUAUUGGGAGUGUUUUCUCGAAUGUGAGUAAAGGUUG
This 582-nucleotide long non-coding RNA is filed under the name Malus domestica (apple). Its description in RNAcentral is "long non-coding RNA (MDOM_LNC011863)". The record is from RNAcentral. Lineage: Eukaryota; Viridiplantae; Streptophyta; Magnoliopsida; Rosales; Rosaceae.